UGGGGAAUUUUCCGCAAUGGGCGAAAGCCUGACGGAGCAAUGCCGCGUGGAGGUAGAAGGCCCACGGGUCGUAAACUCCUUUUCUCAGAGAAGAAGCAAUGACGGUAUCUGAGGAAUA
Molecule: ribosomal RNA, 118 nt
Filed under: uncultured eukaryote
Lineage: Eukaryota
Description: partial 16S ribosomal RNA
Rfam family: Bacterial small subunit ribosomal RNA
Source: RNAcentral